Molecule: ribosomal RNA, 491 nt
Filed under: uncultured bacterium
Lineage: Bacteria
Description: partial 16S ribosomal RNA
Rfam family: Bacterial small subunit ribosomal RNA
Source: RNAcentral
AGUGAACGCUGGCGGUAGGCCUAACACAUGCAAGUCGAACGGCAGCACAGUAAGAGCUUGCUCUUACGGGUGGCGAGUGGCGGACGGGUGAGGAAUACAUCGGAAUCUACUUUUUCGUGGGGGAUAACGUAGGGAAACUUACGCUAAUACCGCAUACGACCUACGGGUGAAAGCAGGGGAUCUUCGGACCUUGCGCGAUUGAAUGAGCCGAUGUCGGAUUAGCUAGUUGGCGGGGUAAAGGCCCACCAAGGCGACGAUCCGUAGCUGGUCUGAGAGGAUGAUCGGCCACCCUGGACCUGAGACCCGGUCCAGACUCCUACGGGAGGCAGCAGUGGGAAAUAUUGACCAAUGGGCGCAAGCCUGAUCCAGCCAUACCGCGUGGGUGAAGAAGGCCUUCGGGUUGUAAAGCCCUUUUGUUGGGAAAGAAAAGCAGCAGGUUAAUACCCCGCUGUUCUGACGGUACCCAAAGAAUAAGCACCGGCUAACUUCGU